Molecule: ribosomal RNA, 1145 nt
Filed under: Capitella sp. 3_ST2018
Lineage: Eukaryota; Metazoa; Annelida; Polychaeta; Capitellidae
Description: partial 18S rRNA
Rfam family: Eukaryotic large subunit ribosomal RNA
Source: RNAcentral
CCGCUGAAUUUAAGCAUAUCAAUAAGGGGAGGAAAAGAAACUAACAAGGAUUCCCUCAGUAACGGCGAGUGAAGCGGGAAGAGCCCAGCGCCGAAUCCCCCUUUGUUAUGGAGGCGGGAACUGUGGCGUAAGGGACUGGUCAUGCGCGGGUGGAGGACGGUCCAAAUCCUCGUGAUCGUUGGUCCUGGCCGUAGAGGGUGUCAGCCCCGUGGGGCCGUCAGAAGCCCGUGCGCAGCCGGUCUCUGGAGUCGGGUUGUUUGAGAAUACAGCCCAAAGCGGGUGGUAAACUCCAUUUAAGGCUAAAUUCCAUGGCAAGUCCGAUAGCGAACAAGUGCCGUGAGGGACCGUUGAAAAGAACCUUGAAGAGAGAGUUCAAGAGCACGUGAAACCGUUCCGAGAGAAAACGGUUGGGCCCGCGAGGCGUGCCGCGGCGGGAUUCAGCCGUCGGCCUGUUGGGAGGCUCGGGUUGUCGGAGGAUGGUGGGGGAAACCCUGCCUAUGCCCCGACGGCCUGGGUCGACCGGCGGGCUGGCGGUGCACUUCUUGUCGUGUGCGGGCCGCGUCCGGAUGCAUCGAUCGGCUGGAAAGCGUUGGCGGGAAGGUGACCGCGGUUGCUUCGGCGGCCACGGAGUUAUUAGCCCGUUGGUGCGACAUACGGCUAGAUUGGCGUCCGAGGCGACACCCGGUGGAGUUCGCGGCCUUUUGGCCCUUCGGUUCCGCUCGGAACAGGGUUUGUUCGCGCCGAUGGGUGUGGUACCCGGUGCUCCGGGGGUCGCUCCUCUGCCUGGGAGUUCCGCGGCUUAGCGAGGCGGUGGCCCAACCGACCCGUCUUGAAAGACGGACCAAGGAGUCCGGCGGGCGUGCAAGUCGUAGGGUGUUCGAAACCCGAAGGCGAAGCGAAAGCGUAGGUCCGAUCCCGCUCCCUCGGGGGUGGGCGCAGGGCCGUCCUCGCUAAGAGGCUUGUGUCCUCUGGCGGGCGAUCUGAGCACGUCCGGCGGGACCCGAAAGAUGGUGAACUAUGCCUGAGCAGGCCGAAGCCAGGGGAAACUCUGGUGGAGGGCCGCAGCGGGUCUGACGUGCAAAUCGAUCGUCAGACUUGUGUAUAGGGGCGAAAGACUAAUCGAACCAUCUAGUAGCUGGUUCCCU